UGGAUAUCUCGCUCCUCCGCCGCCCCCUCCGCGCACUCCGGGAGGCCGCCGGGGCGGUAGCAGCGGCGCGGCUCCGCGGGUGCCCAGGAGACGCCUCGGCAGUCCUCAACUUGUGUGCGCCGGUGGCCCUCUCCUGUGGGACUUGCGUUCCAGCUGUUCUCAGAGCGGGUAUGAUCGGCCUCCAGUAGACUUGGAGGGUCACGGGUGAGAUUUUGAUAAGGUUCAAAUACUCCUCACUCCUGCCUCCGGUUUCCACCAAAGUUACCAUUGUACUACUACCAACAGUUGUGGAAAUUUACUUUGGCAAAGGUUUUGUGUUUUUGUUUGUUUGUUUUUCCCCCCAAAAAUUAUGCCAAUUAAAUCCGACCUUAAAUGACAAGGCUUUUCUCUCAUGUUUAAAAUCCCAUUUUUUUCCCCUUGCCAUAAAUA
RNAcentral lists this long non-coding RNA (429 nucleotides) under Homo sapiens (human). RNAcentral's name for it is "HSALNT0370077". Lineage: Eukaryota; Metazoa; Chordata; Mammalia; Primates; Hominidae. The record is from RNAcentral.